This is a long non-coding RNA of Bactrocera neohumeralis, 904 nucleotides long. RefSeq lists it as uncharacterized. The record is from RefSeq and is a predicted model, not a curated record. Lineage: Eukaryota; Metazoa; Arthropoda; Insecta; Diptera; Tephritidae. The transcript is spliced from 2 exons.
UGCCUGCUAUUUCAAGGUUUGCAUUUUACGCGACUUUUACUAUCUAAAUUUUUCAGAUAUUGGUUUUAUGCUUUUCUUCAUAGCCGUGGAAUUUUUAUUUAUUAUCCUGUUGUUCGGUGAUAUUUGUCUGCAAUCAAGAGUUAGACCGGCUUGAGCCCCCAAUUAAUAUCGUUUUCACGAUAUAAGUUUGAAAUAUAUUUUGCUACGCCGAAAUGCGUGCCUUUAUUGAUAUUCUUAAAAACUGUUUUCAAUAUGAGAUCUUACAGCUACUUAUACUAGCGAGAUGUGACUGUUGUUAUCUGAUUGCGACUUGUUUGUUGUUAUUGAGAUGAAUUAGUCAUUAGGGACCAUUUGUGCGUUGAAUUGCUUGAAGUUUAUAGUGAUUCGCGAACCUCCAAGCUUUGUGGGUGCCAUGUAGAUAGGAGUGGACAUAGUGUAAUGUCGGAUUACCUCAAGCUCUACCAGCGAGUUGUUGAGCUGAAGGGUGUUGUGGCCGCUGCAUUUCCUAUGUCUUCUGAAACCACUGUGGCUAAAUGAGAUAAGCCUCGUCCUAAGACCAUUCCAUCAACACAGCCAAACACAAAGUCACAUCACUGCCAACACUCCAAUACACCACACAUACAGAACCCUCAUAGCAAUAGGACCCACACAUCAACACCACCCACACGCGAGAGCACCUCACAUAUACGCACGCUAACACACACCACACUGGAUACCUCUCUUCAAAAAGGGUCAGGAUCUCAAAUCUUCAGUUCUGUCGAGUUUGCACACGGAACUACACGUCGCUUUUUCGCCGCCGCUACUCACCGUUUACGCUAGUGAUCCCUAUAGUUAUUAAGCAUAAUAACAAAAACAUAUUUGUAUUGUUAAAUCAAAAUUAUCCGAAAUACAGUGCGAACAAUAA